Molecule: ribosomal RNA, 329 nt
Filed under: uncultured bacterium
Lineage: Bacteria
Description: bacterial SSU rRNA
Rfam family: Bacterial small subunit ribosomal RNA
Source: RNAcentral
UGCGUAGGUGGUUAGGUAAGACCUGUGGGAAAGACCUGGGCUUAAACCCAGGAAGGUCGCAGGUGACUGCCUGGCUAGAGGGCGGGAGAGGAGCGCGGAAUUCCCGGUGUAGCGGUGAAAUGCGUAGAGAUCGGGAGGAAGGCCGGUGGCGAAGGCGGCGCUCUGGAACGUUCCUGACACUGAGGCACGAAAGCGUGGGGAGCAAACAGGAUUAGAUACCCUGGUAGUCCACGCCCUAAACGAUGGGUACUAAGUGUCGGCGGGUUACCGCCGGUGCCGCACCUAACGGAGUAAGUACCCCGCCUGGGGAGUACGGCCGCAAGGUUGAA